RNAcentral lists this non-coding RNA (6496 nucleotides) under Pan troglodytes (chimpanzee). Lineage: Eukaryota; Metazoa; Chordata; Mammalia; Primates; Hominidae. The record is from RNAcentral.
GGCAGCAGUCACUCCAGAUGGCCCGCUGAAGCUGGGAGUCCUGAGUUAAUUUCAAGCCAAAUUUCUCACUCCCUGGAGGAGCAGAGUGGAGGGUGUGUGUGCAUGGGGAAGUCCAAGCUUUUCAUAUCUGGAAAAGAAGACUGGGAGAGGCCAGCAUGAAUGGCCACUGUCCUCGCCAAAUCUGGAUGGUAUGUCUUAGGUGGGAUUACAUGUAGAAUAAGAUGAAGUCUUAUCUCACCUCUGCAAAAUGGAGACUGCCUAUAGUAAUUGGCAGAGAACAUGAACAUGGCAAAGGAGUUUCAUCAAUCAAGGAACUUAAAACUCCAAAUUGGACUCGCACAAUUUCUACCAGAAACCUGCCACUUUAGUAGCACGGUAUUGCAAAUUAUUUCUUAAUCAGUUUGCCAAGCAGUUUACAAACUUACUAUACAAACGUAAUAGAGUUAAUUCUCCGGAGGCUCGGAUAAUUAAUGAAGCAUUUAGAUAUGAAGAUAGCAUGCGGAAAACAGCCACAACCAACAUGUGCAUUGCUUUUUUAAAAAAAUCAGUGACAAUGACAAAUGUCAUAUUAAUACCUGAAAAGCAAAUUAUUUUAAUACAUCCCGAAUGGAGUGCCAUUACCAUGUCCUUUACAGCCUUCCUUUCCUCAGACCCAUCUGGGACGGGGUCUGAAAUGCCACUUUUGACAUUCUCUCCAUAAAAAAUACUAGAAAAUGUUAACUACUAUACUGAAAAGAGAUCACGCUCACCUCACCAUGGCAGAUGGCCACUGAGAUACACCGGGCACUACAUCGACAGUACAUCUCACUACAGGUGGGUCCUCCGAUGGAUUAUUUCAACUGCCACAAUCCAUUAAGGGGAGGAGGAGGAUGGAAGAAACCAAGUGCUUCAUUUUUAACUGAAGCAAGGUAGGGAGUUUUAUUUUACUAUAAACAGCACAACCGUUAAAUGUCUUCAUUAAGCAAACUCACUUUUGAGCCCAUUUUCUGACCAACAGUCCUCAAAGUUCAAAAUGGAAAUACCCUCCCAACAAAGCCUGUUUUUUUAAAGACAUUGCACCACUGAAAUCUCAGCAGCUCAACCUUCCUGGGUAAUCCAGAUACUCUGGUUACUAAGCUGGUUACACUGGACUCUUUCUACAAUCUCUGGGAGCUCUUCGAGGUGGUUGUCACCUGUCCUCUGUUUCAUUUCCAGUUCUUCUUUUCCCUGACCUGCCUUCAGAUUCUCCUUUAUCUUCUACCCUUGACCUGCCUUCUGGUUUCAAAUAGCCUUGUUCCUUCUCCAGGCAUGACAUGUCACACACCGUCCCUCGCAGAGCCCCCUCAGAAUCCUUCUGUCCCUCAAUCCCAAAUGCUUAAGUUCAUUUGCUUUGAGGACAACCGGUUGUCAGGCUAAGGCAGCAGUUCUGUCUGCCUUGGUAAAGGAAAGCAGAUAAUACAAUCCAGGAAACAUGAGCACCAGAACAUAAUGCCACAUUCAAAACAACGUCAUGCUGACAUCACACAACGGCACCACUCACAGUCACUUUUACUUUCCCCAAGGGAUAGAUCAACAUUAAGUAACUUCAACAUUCCCAGCAGGGAUGGCAUUUCUCACAGAAUUUUACUGACACCGGUUGGUUUCUCUAAUUGGCAAAAAUUACAUUUGCAAUUUAAAAAAAAUUACUACCACUUUGUAGAAAAUAAAUUCUACUGAGGGUGGGAGCAGACUUAAGGAUGGCUCCUUAAGAUGGAACGGAGCAUAAAAUGCUUUGGGUCUAAUAGUUACGUUUUUUCAGCCACAAAAAGCCAAAUUGAAUAUGUUCCUUUGAAAAAGGUCUCACUGACAUGUAACAAAUUUGUAUAGAAAAAAAAAAAAAAAAAGGUGGUACCGGGCCACAUUUCAAUACUACUCAGAGACAAUGGUGGAUGUGCAUGCAAGUCCCCACUGAGUCCUACGAUAUAGAAAUUCCUUUGAUAUUACAAAAUACAAAAAUAUUUUAUCAGAACUCUCAUUUACAUUGCAUUUACAAUGGACAUGUAAAUAACUUAGUCUUGGGUCCUGGCUAAUAAACAAAUUACUUACUGAAAAAAGGGUCCUAAAAGUAAGAGAACCAGAGAGGAUAAAAGCGAGCAGGAAACAAUUUACCAUCUUGAGAGAUGGCAACUUAACACAGAACUGAUGGGAAGGAAGUGACCAACCCUGGCCUCGAUAGAGUCUACUGUGUUUCCAAAGUGAAAUGUGCAAAUAAUAUUCAACAUGCCAAGAACUGUGACUACCUAUUGAGUCAAUCUGUAACCUUGCCUCCAUCUACUGACAGCAUUUUCCCUUUUCUCCCCCAUAAGCCACCCCCAAAAGCGCUUUAACCUUUAAAACAGUGCAAGUUUCUGACUUUACAUUCUUAGCUCCCAUCUUCUCCCAUUCCCUGAUCCCAAUCAUAUUAAGAAAUGAUACAGUUUUUGCUCUUCUGUCUUUUCCUGCUGUGCAACUGUCCUCUGCCACCUAAUGUGGAAGAUUUGGGGAGGCCGUAGGAGCUGUAUUUGUGCAGCAGCUCAUCGCUUGUGACGUAUCGCAGGCGCGCUGGCUGGGGGAUGGGUUCUCCUAGGAAAUAGCCCUCGUUGUCAGACUCUGAAGAGGAGGAGCAGGUGGAACACCAAUCAUACUCGGCGAAGUAGGGUCCCCAGCGGUCCCCAAAGGCAUUCUGCAAAGCCAGGUCCGACACAGUCCUAGGGCACUGGCCGUACAGGUCCCUCCGGGACCCAUGCCCCAUGCUCUCCUGGAAGCUCCGCUGGCGCAUAAAUUGGUCAUAGUCCUCCCUGGCUCUCAGAGGGGGCCUAUCUUUUAACCGGGAGAUGGCCUCGCGUUCGCUGGCCAGGUGGAGGGCGUUGUCGGAGCGAGAGCGUCGGGAACGCCUGGACCUGUGAGGUCGGAAACGGCGGUUGUCGUCGCGUGAAGUAGCUCUUCUCCGGGUGCGUUCGCUCAUGGGCUGGAUCCUCACGCCCUCCUGCCCUGGCAGCUUGCUGCCCGCCAUCCCUCCAUCAAAAUCAAAGCUCUGAUGCAUCCUUCCGUGGGACUGCAGGUCUCUGUAGCCAAUGGGGUUGCUGAGCUGGUGGAGGUUUCCCUCCAUCUCCUGGUACUGCUGGGCAGAGAGCAGGCUGCGAACUGACUCUGCGCUCCGGAACUGCAUGGACGAGUUAAGAGUGCCCAUGUUGCUCAGCUUCUCAGACACAUUCAUUCCAGAGUCUUUGCUGAGGUCAGGCAUGGAAAAUCGGGAUAGGUGCUCCUGGCGCUUGGCACCACCAUCAGCAGAGAGGCCUGGGGAAGAGAGGAGGGGACCACAGAGAUUAAUAGAGAUGUGCAGCAAUGGGUAUCACUGUCACUGCUGGUCAUCUAUCUAGGGUCAUUAUAUACCGUUGUGAAGUUGUGUACUGCACAAAGGCCCUCUCAGGGGGCACAUGUGCCUGUGAGGGGGUUCUCUCCACUCCACAGUAGGUCACUAUCUACCUAGAGGGGGCACUUGCUUAAAAUGCUUCCAGAGAUGUAUUUUACCAGUUACUAGUUCCUCCAAAGGCUCAUCAAAGUUACUAAGAGCCCACUGUGUAUCUUAUGUAUGAUGCUUCCUCUAUUUGGAGUUUCACUUUGCAAAGUACUUUAAUUACAUUUUUGAUUCUAAUCAUGCACUAUAAGCUCUGUAGGACAGAUAUUUUGGAUGAGCAAACUUUAAGCUAUAGAGGCUGGAUCAUGCCCAAGCUGUUUCUGGCAAUACCAAACACUGGUUCCACAAUAUUGGGCCAGUUCACUUCUCUGUUAGCCUGCAGCGGUUUCCUGCUUUGCCUGCUGUCCCUAAGUGGCAGGUGGCUCCCUAUCAAAAGUGUCUUGGACACUAAGUGACUCCCUAGGUAUAGAUAGAGAAAUAUUUACUCUCUCAGACCAUUCAGUGAAUGCUCCAAGGUUGUAAAUGGGUCUCUAGCAGCCAGAAGAUGUGUGUGGGACCCCAGGGGACCUCUCAGUCGCAUGGGGAGGGACUUUCAAAAGUAAAGCAGUGGGUCUGAUGCUCUCAAACAGUGGGUGCCCCAGCAAUGGACCUCCAUUUCUUAACUGCUGUCAAAUGAGCUCUUGGCAUCCCUGAGAUGAAAACCAUUUUGAAGGUAGUGGCAGAUACUGACUGCAGUAACUUCCAUUUUGCUCAUUUUCAAGCAGAGCUCUCUAAGGAGAUGUUUAAGAAUGGGCCAGGUGGCAAAGUCUCAGCAUUUUCCACUCAUUACAUAUUGCAAGGAUCAGCAAUUUGCCAUUUCUGGUCAUAGACAACAUGCCUUUGGAUUGCAAUGGCCCAUUAUCACCCCUGCUACUGAUUAUUCCUGUCUCCUACUGGGGCCUCCAACUUCCUCUUCCGUGACAAAACCUAAAGCAGUGUUACGAGCACUUUGCAAAAUUACUUGGCAAUAUUUACUAAAGCUAAAUACACAUAUACAUAUAUGAAUUAUAAAUAAAGCCGCUCUGAAUAUCCUUGGCCAUUUUUUGUGGACUUAUGAAUUUCUGUUGGGUGUACGACCAAGAGUAGAAACUCCACAAUUCUCCAUCUUCACUCUUGGUUAUAUAUUCAACAGAAGUUAGUAAGAAGGUCCAAGAAAUGGACAAGGGUACUCAGAGAAGCUUUCUUGUAAUAGCCCAGAAAUGGAAACAACUCAAAUGUCAAUUAUCAGGAAAAUGGAUAAAUAUAUUGUGGUUUUUUCUACCAUUCCCCACUAAAAGGAAUCUAGGCUCUUUAGAAAAAUGGCCAAUUCCAGGAUAAAGGCAAGGAAAUUAAAAGAACCAGGAUCUUGUUAUGCCAUAAAGUGAGAAAGUAUUAAAAAUAAGAUAUGGCAGGGGUUUGUCAGAAGGACACAGGGCCUAACUUGAAGGGGCCCCCACUGGCCAAAUCUGAACAAUUUGAGCACUAAAAUAUUUAAGUGAAGUAAUGAUUUAUAAACCACUGAAACAAAUAGGAAUUCACAAGUCCAUGCUGAUAGCAGAUAAAUAAAAACAUAAAUAAAUAUACAAAUGGGGAAAAGACAGGGCUCUAUGUAUAGUGGAAUGCCAACCGCUGUCAGUAGAGUAAGUUCACAAGAAGGAAGGGGGUGCCAGAUUUGGAAAGUCAUUUUAUAACCAUUGGAGGUAGAGUGCUUCACACAAGAAUCAAAAAGUGUGCUAAAUUUAGGGGGUAAAAUUUGAUGGGAGAGAGCAUUGUUUUAAAGUGUUUCCCUACACAUUGCUUAUUAGUUGCAAGGGAAGAAUUAGUAACUAAACAAAGGUAAAAUCAGACAACACCUUGACCUUAAGUUCAAACUUAACAUCCCUGGUGAGAUGCAACUGCACCCUGCAUGCCUCCAGUUGAGAUGUACUGAGAAGGGCACACUAUCCCUUAUGUAGUAUUCCAGUCGAGAAUGUAUUUCCUGAAUGUAUUCGGGAGGAAACAUUAGACAGAUGCCAAAAGGAGGGACAUUCGUUAUGAAAAAAGGGACUGUAGUCUUAAGACCAGACAAGACUGAGAGAAUGUUCUAGAUGAAAGGGUACGAGGGACACAUGGCAAUUACAUAUAAUACCUGAUCCUGGACUGGAACCUGCUCUGUAGGAAAAAUAAAUGCUAUAAAGUAGGGGUUCCCAGACCUCAGGCUACAGACUGGUUAGGAGCAGGGCCACACAGCAGGAGGUGAGUGGUCAGCAAGGGAAGCUUCAUCUGUAUGUACAGCCACUCCCCAUUGCUCCAACUACUGCCUGACCUCUGCCUCCUGACAGAUCAGCAGCAGCAUUAGAUUCUCAUAGGAGUGUAAACCCUAUUGUGAACUGCUCAUGCAGGAUCUAGGUUGUGUGCUCCUUAUGAGAAUCUCAUGCCUGAUGAUCCAUAACUGUCUCCCAUUACCCCUAGAUGGGACUGUCUAGUUGCAGGAAAACAAGCUCAGGUCUCCCACUGACUCUACCUUAAAGUGAGUUGUGUAAUUAUUUCAGUAUAUAUUACAAUGUAGUAAUAAUAGAAAUAAAGUACAUAAUAAAUGUAAUGCACUUGAACCAUCCCAAAGCCAUCCCCACCCCCUGGCCCCAGUCUGUGGAAAAAUUAUCUUCCAUAAAACCGGUCCCUGGUGCCAAAAAGGCUAGAGACUGCCUCUAUAAAGGAUAACUUUUAGUCAACUGAAAAAAAAAUGGAACAUGGGCAAUAGAUAAAAGUAUUAUGCUAAAUUUACUGUGGUCAAUUAAUAAUGGUGAUAAUGUGGGAGAAGAUCUUUAUUCUUGGGAAAUAUAUAUGGAAGGAUAUGGUGGUAAAUGGCCCAGAUGGAUGCAAUUUGCUCUCAAAUGGUUUAUAAAUAAAAUGUGUGUGUGUGUGCGUGUGUGUGCGUGCAUGUGAACAUGAAAGAACAAAUGUGGCAAAAGGUUAACAAUGGAUCAAUCUACGUAAAGAGUACAUUACAGGUGUUGUUUGUUCUAUUUUUAUAACUUUAAGUCUGAAAUUAUUUCCAAAUAAAAAGUUUCUUUAACAUUGGAA